Molecule: ribosomal RNA, 463 nt
Filed under: uncultured bacterium
Lineage: Bacteria
Description: partial 16S ribosomal RNA
Rfam family: Bacterial small subunit ribosomal RNA
Source: RNAcentral
CUACGGGUGGCUCCAGUGGGGAAUAUUGCACAAUGGGCGCAAGCCUGAUGCAGCCAUGCCGCGUGUAUGAAGAAGGCCUUCGGGUUGUAAAGUACUUUCAGCGGGGAGGAAGGGAGUAAAGUUAAUACCUUUGCUCAUUGACGUUACCCGCAGAAGAAGCACCGGCUAACUCCGUGCCAGCAGCCGCGGUAAUACGGAGGGUGCAAGCGUUAUAGGAAUUACUGGGCGUAAAACGCACGCAGGCGGUUUGUUAAGUCAGAUGUGAAAUCCCCGGGCUCAACCUGGGAACUGCAUCUGAUACUGGCAAGCUUGAGUCUCGUAGAGGGGGGUAGAAUUCCAGGUGUAGCGGUGAAAUGCGUAGAGAUCUGGAGGAAUACCGGUGGCGAAGGCGGCCCCCUGGACGAAGACUGACGCUCAGGUGCGAAAGCGUGGGGAGCAAACAGGAUUAGAUACCCCAGUAGUC